CAUUUGUUCUCUAAAUAAGGACUUGUAUGAAUGGCCACACGAGGGUUUUACUGUCUCUUACUUCCAAUCAGUGAAAUUGACCUUCCCGUGAAGAGGCGGGAAUAAACAAAUAAGACGAGAAGACCCUAUGGAGCUUUAACUAAUUAGUCCAGAGAAAAUAAAUUCUAACCACCAAGGGACAGCAAUAUCCUCCAUGGACUAACAGCUUUGGUUGGGGUGACCUCGGAGAAUAAAAAAUCCUCCGAGCGAUUUUAAAGACUAGACCCACAAGUCAAAUCAAAUUAUCGCUUAUUGAUCCAAAAACUUGAUCAACGGAACAAGUUACCCUAGGGAUAACAGCGCA
RNAcentral lists this ribosomal RNA (343 nucleotides) under Philantomba maxwellii (Maxwell's duiker). RNAcentral describes it as "partial 16S ribosomal RNA". It matches the Rfam family "Bacterial large subunit ribosomal RNA", at positions 1966 to 2484 of the family's 2925-position model. The record is from RNAcentral. Lineage: Eukaryota; Metazoa; Chordata; Mammalia; Artiodactyla; Bovidae.